CCUACGGGAGGCAGCAGUGAGGAAUAUUGGUCAAUGGCCGUAAGGCUGAACCAGCCAAGUCGCGUGAGGGAAGACGGCUCUAUGGAUCGUAAACCUCUUUUAUGCGGGAAUAAAGGUGUGGACGUGUGGAUGUUUGCAGGUACCGCAUGAAUAAGGACCGGCUAAUUCCGUGCCAGCAGCCGCGGUAAUACGGAAGAUCCGAGCGUUAUCCGGAUUUAUUGGGUUUAAAGGGAGCGUAGGCGGGUCUUUAAGAGUGCGGUGAAAUUUUGUGGCUCAACCAUGGGAUUGCCGCGGGAACUGGGGAGCUUGAGUGCGCGGAAGGCAGGCGGAAGGCGUGGUGUAGCGGUGAAAUGCUUAGAUAUCACGCAGAACCCCGAUUGCGAAGGCAGCCUGCCGAAGCGUUACUGACGCUGAAGCACGAAAGCGCGGGUAUCGAACAGGAUUAGAUACCCCAGUAGUC
Molecule: ribosomal RNA, 460 nt
Filed under: uncultured bacterium
Lineage: Bacteria
Description: partial 16S ribosomal RNA
Rfam family: Bacterial small subunit ribosomal RNA
Source: RNAcentral